AGGCUUAUAGUUAAAUGGUUAAAACGUUCCGCUCAUAACGGUAAGAAUGUAGGUUCAAUUCCUACUAAGCCUA
This 73-nucleotide transfer RNA is filed under the name Cyanoptyche gloeocystis. RNAcentral describes it as "tRNA-Met". It matches the Rfam family "tRNA". From Rfam's summary of the family: Transfer RNA (tRNA) molecules are approximately 80 nucleotides in length. Their secondary structure includes four short double-helical elements and three loops (D, anti-codon, and T loops). Further hydrogen bonds mediate the characteristic L-shaped molecular structure. tRNAs have two regions of fundamental functional importance: the anti-codon, which is responsible for specific mRNA codon recognition, and the 3' end, to which the tRNAs corresponding amino acid is attached (by aminoacyl-tRNA synthetases). tRNAs cope with the degeneracy of the genetic code in two manners: having more than one tRNA (with a specific anti-codon) for a particular amino acid; and 'wobble' base-pairing, i.e. permitting non-standard base-pairing at the 3rd anti-codon position. Lineage: Eukaryota; Glaucocystophyceae. The record is from RNAcentral.